AAAGAUCUCCCAGCAGAAGAGGAGAGGAGGUUGUGUGGGACAAGUUGCUCCCGACAGAAGGAUGUCGCUGCUGAGCCUGCCCUGGCUGGGCCUCAGACAGGUGGCAAUAUCCCCAUGGCUACUCCUGCUGCUGGUUGUGGGCUCCUGGCUACUCACCCGCAUCCUGGCUUGGACCUAUGCCUUCUAUAACAACUGCCGCCGGCUCCAGUGUUUCCCACAGCCCCCAAAACGGAACUGGUUUUGGGGUCACCUGGGCCUGAUCACUCCUACAGAGGAGGGCUUGAAGGACUCGACCCAGAUGUCAGCCACCUAUUCCCAGGGCUUUACGAUAUGGCUGGGUCCCAUCAUCCCCUUCAUCGUUUUAUGCCACCCUGACACCAUCCGGUCUAUCACCAAUGCCUCAGCUGCCAUUGCACUCAAGGAUGAUCUCUCCAUCAGGUUCCUGAAGCCCUGGCUGGGGGAUGGGCUCCUGCUGAGUGGCGUUGACAAGUGGAGCCGCCACCGUCGGAUGCUGACACCCGCCUUCCAUUUCAACAUCCUGAAGUCCUAUAUAACGAUCUUCAACAAGAGUGCAAACAUCAUGCUUGUGAGUCCCUUGAAGUCUGGGUCCCAGCUGGAGUCUUGGGGUGGAGGGACCAUGGACACAUCUGGUCUGGAAUUUUGGCUCUUCUGGGUGGCACUGGGCCAUUGCUCUUCCUCUCUGAGCCUUGGUUUCCUCAUCUGUAAAAUGGGGAUGAUAAUCCCUACUUGAAAGGUCAUUUACUUGGCACACAGUAGGUUCUCAGAAGGUGUCAGUUUCUGUGUUUUUCUCACAGAAUCCCUGUAAACUCAAGAGAGUAAAAAUGAAGAUUGUGUAGUAGUCAUUGCUGAUUACAAACCACUUCAGAACUCAUUGGCUUAGAGCCAUAAGGGUUUACAAUUGCUAAGGAGUCUGUGAGACAGCUGGCCAGUUCUUCUGGAUGUGGAAGGGAUCACUCUUGGCACAUGAGCAGCUGUGGGUCGGGGGGCAGC
This 1011-nucleotide small RNA is filed under the name Pan troglodytes (chimpanzee). RNAcentral's name for it is "retained intron". The record is from RNAcentral. Lineage: Eukaryota; Metazoa; Chordata; Mammalia; Primates; Hominidae.